AAAGGUCGCAGUUUAUUUUCUUUUAACACAGCCGCACGUGUUGAGGGCAUUGGUCUUCAGGUUUUUUUUUAUAUAACCAAAAUCUCUUUAUUUGAUUCAAGUUGUAGAAGACAGAGAGAAACAUAAACAUUGUGUACAACGGUUAAGUCGCGGACACAGCAAAUCCUUUCCAAUAGUUUGAAGCGGACAGCUGACCUUUGUAGCCCUCGUCUCUGCCACUGACAACUCACAAACCUCUCCCAGCCUCUUACAAACAACCUCUCUGUAGACGUUCAAUCAAGAAUACAACGUCACUAGAAUGCUAAGAGGCGCCUCCGCAGCGCCUACACAGCGCCUCUGCUCGCCUCCACCGCCGCCACCGCCACCGCCGUCGCACAAAGGAUCUUCUUUAUCUACUACUUACCGACUUUCGCUUUCAAUCGCUCUUACAGAUUUAA
Papilio polytes (common Mormon) is the source of this 437-nucleotide long non-coding RNA. RefSeq lists it as uncharacterized. The record is from RefSeq and is a predicted model, not a curated record. The transcript has 3 exons. NCBI's taxonomy places the organism in Eukaryota, Metazoa, Arthropoda, Insecta, Lepidoptera, Papilionidae.